RNAcentral lists this transfer RNA (73 nucleotides) under Stegodyphus mimosarum. It matches the Rfam family "tRNA". Rfam says of the family: Transfer RNA (tRNA) molecules are approximately 80 nucleotides in length. Their secondary structure includes four short double-helical elements and three loops (D, anti-codon, and T loops). Further hydrogen bonds mediate the characteristic L-shaped molecular structure. tRNAs have two regions of fundamental functional importance: the anti-codon, which is responsible for specific mRNA codon recognition, and the 3' end, to which the tRNAs corresponding amino acid is attached (by aminoacyl-tRNA synthetases). tRNAs cope with the degeneracy of the genetic code in two manners: having more than one tRNA (with a specific anti-codon) for a particular amino acid; and 'wobble' base-pairing, i.e. permitting non-standard base-pairing at the 3rd anti-codon position. Lineage: Eukaryota; Metazoa; Arthropoda; Arachnida; Araneae; Eresidae. The record is from Rfam by way of RNAcentral.
GCCUUCGUAGUGUAGUGGUCAGCACGCUCGACGCGUAUUCGAGAGGUCAGUGGUUCGAGUCUCUUCGAGGGUA